Molecule: ribosomal RNA, 228 nt
Filed under: uncultured bacterium
Lineage: Bacteria
Description: partial 16S ribosomal RNA
Rfam family: Bacterial small subunit ribosomal RNA
Source: RNAcentral
UGAGCAAUCUGCCCUUCUCAUCGGAAUAAGCGUUGGAAACGACGUCUAAUGCCGAAUACGACCUCCUUUCGCAUGAUCGGAGGUGGAAAGCUCCGGCGGAGAAGGAUGAGCUCGCGGCCUAUCAGCUAGUUGGUGAGGUAAUAGCUCACCAAGGCGACGACGGGUAGCCGGCCUGAGAGGGUGACCCGGCCACACGUGGGACUGAGACACGGCCCAGACCUCCGUAGG